AAGUGAAGUAGAGGACAGUGGCGGACGGGUGAGUAACGCGUGAGGAACCUGCCUUUCAGAGGGGGACAACAGUUGGAAACGACUGCUAAUACCGCAUGACACAUAGGUGUCGCAUGGCACUUAUGUCAAAGAUUUUAUCGCUGAGAGAUGGACUCGCGUCCGAUUAGCUGGAUGGUGAGGUAACGGCCCACCAUGGCGACGAUCGGUAGCCGGACUGAGAGGUUGACCGGCCACAUUGGGACUGAGAUACGGCCCAGACUCC
RNAcentral lists this ribosomal RNA (262 nucleotides) under uncultured Oscillospiraceae bacterium. RNAcentral's name for it is "partial 16S ribosomal RNA". It matches the Rfam family "Bacterial small subunit ribosomal RNA", at positions 78 to 339 of the family's 1533-position model. The record is from RNAcentral. Lineage: Bacteria; Bacillati; Bacillota; Clostridia; Eubacteriales; Oscillospiraceae.